AGAACGAACGCUGGCGGCAGGCCUCAAACAUGCAAGUCUAGGGGGUGUAGCAAUACAUCACCGGCGGACGGGUGCGUAACGCGUGGGAAUGUACCUAUUGGUUCGGAACAACUGAGGGAAACUUCAGCUAAUACCGGAUGAGCCCGAAAGGGGAAAGAUUUCUCGCCAAUAGAUCAGCCCGCGUCCGAUUAGCUAGUUGGUGGGGUUAAAGCCUACCAAGGCGACGAUCGGUAGCUGUUCUGAGAGGAAGAUCAGCCACGCUGGGACUGAGACACGGCCCAGACUCCUACGGGAGGCAGCAGUUGGGAAUCUUGGACAAUGGGGAAACCCUGAUCCAGCCAUGCCGCGUGAGUGAUGAAGGCCUUCGGGUUGUAAAACUCUUUCGACGGGACGAUAAUGACGGUACCCGUAGAAGAAGCUCCGGCUAACUUCGCGCCAGCAGCCGC
This 446-nucleotide ribosomal RNA is filed under the name uncultured bacterium. RNAcentral's name for it is "SSU rRNA". It matches the Rfam family "Bacterial small subunit ribosomal RNA", at positions 26 to 518 of the family's 1533-position model. The record is from RNAcentral.